Molecule: transfer RNA, 490 nt
Filed under: Pseudomonas syringae pv. aptata
Lineage: Bacteria; Pseudomonadati; Pseudomonadota; Gammaproteobacteria; Pseudomonadales; Pseudomonadaceae
Description: partial 16S-23S ribosomal RNA intergenic spacer
Rfam family: tRNA (bases 84-157)
Source: RNAcentral
AUCGACGACUCAGCUGCACCAUAAGCACCCACACGAAUUGCUUGAUUCAUUGAAGAAGACGAUUAGAAGCAGCGCCCGAGUUCGGGUCUGUAGCUCAGUUGGUUAGAGCGCACCCCUGAUAAGGGUGAGGUCGGCAGUUCGAAUCUGCCCAGACCCACCAGUUUACUGGUGAGAUAGCUGGUCAGAGUAGACGCCUCCACGGUAUGUAGAAAUACGGGGCCAUAGCUCAGCUGGGAGAGCGCCUGCCUUGCACGCAGGAGGUCAGCGGUUCGAUCCCGCUUGGCUCCACCACUUACUGCUUCUGUUUGAAAGCUUAGAAAUGAGCAUUCCACCCUGCAAAACAAAGGGUGCGUGAAUGUUGAUUUCUAGUCUUUGAUUAGAUCGUUCUUUAAAAAUUUGGGUAUGUGAUAGAAAGAAAUAUAGACCGGGCACCUCUUUCACUGGUGUGUGUCCGGGCUAAGGUAAAGUUUGUGAAAUGCAAACUUUCGGC